GGGCGGUUAGCUCAGUUGGUAGAGCGCGUCGUUGACGUCGAUGAGGUCAGAGGUUCAAAUCCUCUACCGCCCA
This 73-nucleotide transfer RNA is filed under the name Candidatus Tayloriibacteriota bacterium. Its description in RNAcentral is "tRNA-Val". It matches the Rfam family "tRNA". From Rfam's summary of the family: Transfer RNA (tRNA) molecules are approximately 80 nucleotides in length. Their secondary structure includes four short double-helical elements and three loops (D, anti-codon, and T loops). Further hydrogen bonds mediate the characteristic L-shaped molecular structure. tRNAs have two regions of fundamental functional importance: the anti-codon, which is responsible for specific mRNA codon recognition, and the 3' end, to which the tRNAs corresponding amino acid is attached (by aminoacyl-tRNA synthetases). tRNAs cope with the degeneracy of the genetic code in two manners: having more than one tRNA (with a specific anti-codon) for a particular amino acid; and 'wobble' base-pairing, i.e. permitting non-standard base-pairing at the 3rd anti-codon position. The record is from RNAcentral. Lineage: Bacteria; Candidatus Tayloriibacteriota.